Molecule: ribosomal RNA, 440 nt
Filed under: uncultured bacterium
Lineage: Bacteria
Description: partial 16S ribosomal RNA
Rfam family: Bacterial small subunit ribosomal RNA
Source: RNAcentral
CCUACGGGGGGCAGCAGUGGGGAAUAUUGCACAAUGGGGGAAACCCUGAUGCAGCGACGCCGCGUGAGUGAAGAAGUCUUUCGGUUUGUAAAGCUCUAUCAGCAGGGAAGAAAAUGACGUUACCUGAUUAAGAAACCCCGGCAAACUACGUGCCAGCAGCCGCGGUAAUACGUAGGGGGGAAGCGUUAUCCGGAUUUACUGGGUGUAAAGGGAGCGUCGCGGGGAGUACAAGUCUGGAGUGAAAUGCCGGGGCUUAACCCCGGUACUGCUUUGGAAACGGUGCAGCUAGAGUGCAGGAGAGGGAAGUGGAAUUCCUAGUGUAGCGGUGAAAUGCGUAGAGAUUAGGAGGAACACCAGUGGCGAAGGCAGCUUACUGGACUGUAACUGACGUUGAGGCUCGAAAGCGUGGGGAGCGAACAGGAUUAGAUACCCCAGUAGUC